This 167-nucleotide unclassified non-coding RNA is filed under the name uncultured Sordariomycetes. RNAcentral's name for it is "sequence contains ITS2". The record is from RNAcentral. Lineage: Eukaryota; Fungi; Ascomycota; Sordariomycetes.
CAACCCUCGAACCCCCGGGUUUGGUGUUGGGGCACACCUGCAGCGCGAGCGGCAGGGCCCCGAAAUACAGUGGCGGGUCCCUCGGUAUCCCGAACGUAGUAAUAUCUGUCGUUCAGGGCGUGCCGGCGGCGUCCAGCCGUUAAAAUUUCCACUGGAAACUUUCUCAA